UACGUAGGUGGCAAGCGUUGUCCGGAUUUAUUGGGUUUAAAGGGUUCGUAGGCGGCUUUGUAAGUCAGUGGUGAAAUAUGGCAGCUUAACUGUCAAGGUGCCAUUGAUACUGCAGAGCUUGAGUACAGAUGAGGUAGGCGGAAUUGACGGUGUAGCGGUGAAAUGCUUAGAUAUCGUCAAGAACACCGAUAGCGAAGGCAGCUUACUAAGCUGUAACUGACGCUGAGGCACGAAAGUGUGGGGAUCAAACAGG
Molecule: ribosomal RNA, 253 nt
Filed under: uncultured bacterium
Lineage: Bacteria
Description: partial 16S ribosomal RNA
Rfam family: Bacterial small subunit ribosomal RNA
Source: RNAcentral